RNAcentral lists this ribosomal RNA (464 nucleotides) under uncultured bacterium. RNAcentral describes it as "partial 16S ribosomal RNA". It matches the Rfam family "Bacterial small subunit ribosomal RNA", at positions 28 to 506 of the family's 1533-position model. The record is from RNAcentral.
GAUGAACGCUGGCGGCGUGCUUAACACAUGCAAGUCGAACGGAAAGGCUCCUGCUUGCAGGGGUACUCGAGUGGCGAACGGGUGAGUAACACGUGGGUGAUCUGCCCUGCACUUCGGGAUAAGCCUGGGAAACUGGGUCUAAUACCGGAUAGGACCACAUUUUGGAUGGUGUGGUGGAAAGUUUUUCGGUGUGGGUUGAGCUCGCGGCCUAUCAGCUUGUUGGUGGGGUAAUGGCCUACCAAGGCGUCGACGGGUAGCCGGCCUGGGAGGGUGUAGGGCCACAUUGGGCCUGGGAUACGGCCCAGACUCCAACGGGGGGAAGCGGUGGGGAAUAUGGCACAAUGGGCGCAGGCCUGAUGCAGCGACGCCGGGUGGGGGAGGACGGCCUUGGGGUUGUAAACUCCUUUCGCUAGGGACGAAGCGCAAGUGACGGUACCGGGAGAAGAAGCACCGGCUAACUACGU